This 129-nucleotide ribosomal RNA is filed under the name Russula sp. RNAcentral describes it as "partial large subunit ribosomal RNA". It matches the Rfam family "Eukaryotic large subunit ribosomal RNA", at positions 138 to 261 of the family's 3401-position model. The record is from RNAcentral. Lineage: Eukaryota; Fungi; Basidiomycota; Agaricomycetes; Russulales; Russulaceae.
CCGAGUUGUAAUUUAGAGAAGCGUCUUCCGCGCUGGACCGUGCAUAAGUCUCCUGGAACGGAGCGUCAUAGAGGGUGAGAAUCCCGUCUUUGGCACGGACCCCCAGGGCUUCUGUGAUGCGCUCUCGAA